UGGCUCUCUCUCUGGGGGUUUUGGUGGUAUAAACAGAGAAAGCGUUGUACUCGUUCAGAUGAGGCUCGAGGUAUGCCACAGGCAUCGCUGCAGCUAAAUGAGCUAAACAUUCUCCCAGAGCUGGCCUGUACCUUUCGGCAUGAGGAGUUUUGACGGUACCGAGAGAGUAAAUGCUGCACAUGAUUCUGUAGCAGGACAUCUGCAGGUCAUCCACUAACACAUAAAAAAAAACUCGUUUCAUUUCCUCAGAUCUCAAACGCUAACAACUUUAUAUAUUUAGCUACGUAACUUAUAAAACUUAUAAAAGUUUUAUUUGAAAAAGUGUCUAGGAUGUCCAAUCAGGUUCCGCUCAGGAUUUUGGACCGAUUAACGCGAACGUCGCCCCGGUGUGAUUUAGAGCAGCUUACGUAUGACGUCGUCUCCGAACUGGUGCUGUGCGAUGUGAUCGAACAGCGAGGUGAGGACCGGCAGCAGGGCCACGGUAGUAUAGUUAAUAUUUUGAGAUACGCCCUUCACCGGCUAGACACAGAAAAGUAUUAGACACAAUAAACACACAAACAUUUAAACAUUAAAUUAUAUCCUAAUAAAACCAUGUAAUGUUUUAUUUUUGUUUUACACCCAGUACUACUCGCAGUGUGUGUAAGUGUGUUAAAUUUCCAGUGUAUAUUUUUUCAGCUUUUUUUUUACUCUAAUUAAAUGAUAUUGAGCAGGGGGCUACUCCACACUUCAGAGAAAAGCUUAGCAUUUGGAAAGUGCAGUACUUAAUUCACACCUGUAUGUGAUGUACUGUACUGUGUUGUUGAAACUGUUUGCUGAUUGAAAUGUGCUCGAAUGUGCUUCCUGUGGUACCUGGUUGCCUUUCGACACUUUGCCCAGUUUGAGGUUCUCCACCAUCUUUUCGAUGUCAUCAGCCGCACUCUCGAAGAAUGAUCUCAACCCGGCCUUCACAAUCUCGGGUCCUGAUUUCAUCACCGUUCUGCCAGAGACAGGACAGAGAGAGAACCAGAGAAAGAACCAGAGACAUAUCCAGAGUCAGAACCAGAGUCAGAACAGAGAGAGAACCAGAGAUAGAACAAGAGACAGAAACCAGAAGAGAACCAGAGACAGAACCAGAGACAGAGAGAGAAACCAGAGACAGAGAGAGAACCAGAGACAGAACCAGAGACAGAGACAGAACCAGAGACAGAGAGAGAACCAGAGACAGAUCCAGAAACAGAGAGAGAGACAAAACCAGAGACAAAACCAGAGACACAACCAGAGACAGAACAAGAGACAGAGAGAGAGACACACCAGAGACAGAGACAGAACCAGAGACAGAGACAGAGAGAGAACCAGAGAUUGAACCAGAGACAGAACCAGAGACAGAGACAGAACCAGUUCAAUCAUAUCAGUUUUGCAAUAAAAUAAAGAGUAAUGAAAACUGCAUAUGCUGCUAAUAAUAAUAAGAAGAAGAUGACUAGCUCCUGCAAUUACUGUACAUACAACGAUCCCACAAAGAAAAGUGAAGACUCCAUAUGAGAUCAUACGUGUCAAAGACUUAUAAUGGGUUAAAUACAGAAAUAAAAUGCUAUGAUUCUUUAGAAAUCACAUUUAGCGAGGCAUCAACUCUGGAACACACAAACACACAGCGCAUGUGCUCCUUUUCAUAACAUAAUGCCGUUCCACUUUAAGAUUUGGAUAGAAAGAGACCUGUAUGGACAUGGAUAUACAGUAGAACUGAUAAAUAAGAUGAAUUUAGAAAUGUAAAAAAGUAACCUUGCGUCGAGCGAGCGUGCGAGUAUGUGGAGACAGUUCACGAUAGCAGGGGCGUCCGUGCCUAAGACAGAAACACACAGAUGUGAAUCGAAAUAGCGUUUAAUAACCGGCAAAUUAAAGCUCUGAGUAGCGGACGUAGACUUCCGGACUUGGCUGGAGCAAAUAAACAGGAAAGACUUAGAGAUGCACAGCAGUAUCAGCGGUACAGAAAAGAACCGAAGAGAACCGAAGAGAGAGAGAAGGAUGUGUGCAGGCAUCUUACCGAAGAGAAAAACUCUGUGUCUCACCAGAGCAGACAUCUUACAGAAUAUACUGCAACGGUAAAGGAAAUGAAAAAGGCAGAAGAGUGGGAAAGAAUGAAUAAAGGAGAAAAAAGAAAAACAGAAAGCAUCAACGCAGAGGAAAGGUUUCAAAGACUGCAGACUAAAAAAAUAAAAUCAGCAGAAGAAUGAAAAGAAAGCUAACAUUCGUUUCUUUCACAAGUGUGUUUUUAAAAGCGUUUUUUUUUUUUUUUUUUUUAACUACCUGGCGAUCAUUUCUUUCUCCUUAUUCGAGGCGUGGCCGCCGCUGCCCAGGAUUUUAGCAGGAGUGGACAGGAAAUAGAGGCAGUGGUUUUUAAAAUACUGAUUUAUCAACGGCAAGAGGAUCUGAAGAGGACAGAAACAUGAGGCUUCGUAUAAAUAUAUUUGGUUUUCAGAGACUGAUUCUGAAACGUUAUUAAACAAGCUUAACCUUGGCGAAGAACUUGAUCUCCUGCUCAUGAGGUGAUUUCUCCACACGACCGCUGCUGACCACCGCCUCUGCACGCGCACACACACAAUAAUAAAGAUUAUAUGUAUAUACAUAUGAUUUGAUCAUUACUAUUGCACCCCUCUACUUAAACACACUAUCGGUUAAUGAUAAAAUACGUUACGAAAAACUAUUUUAUAUACAAUCUAACACUAUUAUUAUACUAUUGUGGAAAGCAGUAGAUACAUGCAGCAUAUACAGCAGUGG
Ictalurus punctatus (channel catfish) is the source of this 2751-nucleotide long non-coding RNA. Lineage: Eukaryota; Metazoa; Chordata; Actinopteri; Siluriformes; Ictaluridae. The record is from Ensembl.